RNAcentral lists this microRNA precursor (125 nucleotides) under Eptesicus fuscus (big brown bat). Its description in RNAcentral is "microRNA mir-9234b (MIR9234B)". Lineage: Eukaryota; Metazoa; Chordata; Mammalia; Chiroptera; Vespertilionidae. The record is from RNAcentral.
GGACACAGACACAUACAAGGAAGAAUUGGGUUGUCUGGCAUCGGGGCAGGAACUCGGGGGCCGCUUUCUCCCAGAUGGAGGUGCUCCCAGGGAUCAUUGUUCCUAUGCUGGGACCUCCCAGGUCG